This 663-nucleotide long non-coding RNA is filed under the name Jatropha curcas. RNAcentral's name for it is "long non-coding RNA (JCUR_LNC001866)". The record is from RNAcentral. Lineage: Eukaryota; Viridiplantae; Streptophyta; Magnoliopsida; Malpighiales; Euphorbiaceae.
AAUAUCCAGCCACAUUUAGCUAAUAAAAAAUUAUAACUUGAAAGAGAUCAAAAGAGAAACUAAAAAACUACUAGUAUAUAAAGCUAGCUGCUUAUAAUUCUUGAGUCUCGAAACAGUGCAAUCCAUCCAAAAAGGGCGCAAUAGCAGGUGCAAUAUGCUGCGAUUUAUGAUUACUAGCAGAAGCACUAGUGGGUGCCAUCCCCGACAAGUUGUUGCCAUCUUUCUUUAUCUCGUUUUUGAGCAAAUCUGCCUUUUUAGCAGCAGAAGUUUUAGUUGCAGUUUUGAUGAGACAAGGCAAAGAAACGCCAAACUCGUCACGGAAGUAGUCAGUAGCAAUAGCACAACUUAAAUAACCAAAGAAAGACAUUAUCUUUUUAUCAGCUGUAAAAGACAUGAUCUUUUUAUCAGCUGUAACCAACAAUAAGUUGAAGCUUGAAGAUGUGAAUACAUAGAACAAUAGCCCCUCUCCUAAUCCGAUGGGGAAAAGGACUUGACUUUUCAUGAUUUGGUGAGGACCAGCUGUUUCUUGCUUAAUUCCCAAUCCCAUUCUUUAUGGCAAAAUUGGCAAUUACAAUAGCAAGUUCUGGCGUUUUCCUUGAAAGCGAAACUUGAGUAUAGUACUAAGGAGAAGAACAAUGCAUCUGGCCAAUAAUAAACGUUAAG